UCCCUGGUGGUCCAGUGGCUAAGACUCCACGCUCCCAGUGCAGGGGCCCAGGUUCAACCCCUGGCCAGGGAA
This 72-nucleotide transfer RNA is filed under the name Bos taurus (domestic cattle). RNAcentral describes it as "tRNA-Trp (CCA) (tRNA-Trp-CCA-20-1)". It matches the Rfam family "tRNA". From Rfam's summary of the family: Transfer RNA (tRNA) molecules are approximately 80 nucleotides in length. Lineage: Eukaryota; Metazoa; Chordata; Mammalia; Artiodactyla; Bovidae. RNAcentral also lists the same sequence under 3 other names. The record is from Rfam by way of RNAcentral.